CGGGAGUCCGGUGAACGGGCAGAAGCAGGGCCAUGCCCAAGCCACCCCCAAGAUCCCCCUGAACCUGCGCCUCCAUCACGACCCAUUCAGGUGCCUCCAGGAGCCCAGACACCAGCCCCCCACCAUGGGCAGCAAGGAGCGCUUCCACUGGCAGAGCCACAAUGUGAAGCAGAGCGGUGUGGACGACAUGGUGCUUCUUCCCCAGAUCACUGAAGACGCCAUCGCUGCCAACCUCCGGAAGCGCUUCAUGGACGACUACAUCUUCGUACCCUGGGCCAAGGCUGGGGGUGGGCAGGCAGGGAAGGAAUGAAUGGCUGGGCCAUGAACAGAGAGGAGGGUGAAGGAGCGGAGGGAGGAAUAGGCCGGGAGAGCACCAGGCUGUGAGACAGAGGACAGACGGAGUGACAGCAGGGCUCUGGUUGGGGGCAGCUGUGGCUGCCACUGCUCCCUCCGUCCUGGGGAAGCUCAGCUCCAGCGUGUUCCAUUUCCCCCAUUCCGGAUCCAACUCUGUUUUUUUUUGUUUUUUGUUUU
RNAcentral lists this small RNA (531 nucleotides) under Pongo abelii (Sumatran orangutan). RNAcentral describes it as "retained intron". Lineage: Eukaryota; Metazoa; Chordata; Mammalia; Primates; Hominidae. The record is from RNAcentral.